UUUCCAUUUAAUUUUAUUAUUAAGUUUCAGUGGUGAUGUGCAAGUUUCUCCAACUCAGAGUUUGGAAAGGCUGCAGAAGCACACGGACUACGAGCCUACGCAGACUUUGAGUGCAGUAUUUCCAUAAGGCACUCAGAAACUGGAGAGAAGAUCCAUGCACUCUGUGCCCCAGCCAACAAGCAGAGGACUGUCUGCAAGCCUCAUCCAGUCCUGUCACUUCACAUCCCAAGCAGCAGUGCCACGUCCUGAGGAAGUGAUUGACUCUGACAGAUCCUAUGAUGAACUCUCCAGGGCUCCAAUUAUGUUUUCCAACAUUUAGCAUCAUCUCUUUUUCCCUUCACUCCCCCUCCUUGGGGAGAACUUCAGUCUGAGCAGAAGCUCUGUGUGUGUGCAGAUGGGCCAAGAAGGGAUGGGUGUUCUAAUUUCUGCCACUUGUGCUGCAGCACUGGGGAUGGGACGGGAUGGGAUGGGAUGGGAUGGGACGGGACGGGACGGGACAGAAGGGGUCCUGAGAGCACCAAUGGGCCCUAAUGACCCCAAGCAGCCUCACCUGAGACCUCCACCCACAGCCUCUGCCCCAUUUAAGAGCAAUGCUGGUAAAGCAGAUGGUGCUCAUCUUUUAGCCCUAACUGAAGCUUUGCCUUGGUGUUUUCCCCUGUGUUCCUUGAUAGACCAAAGUGUGCUCUGGGUUUCUUGUUCCUCCUUUUGUUCUUGGGGCUUUUUAGCUGUCUGGGGACAAAAGAAUAAGAAAAGCCCUGUGUUGAAGACAGGAGCUUACAGUGGUACAGGUGCACUGGGAAAGUCCGUGGUACCAACCAGUGCUGGGAUGUAUGCAGGCAUUUGUCUCCUCAUCUUGCCAUUCUAGAUGAAGUGAACCUGCUGGACAAAAUGACUUCUCAAUUAAAGGACCUCAGCAAUGUUUCCUUCAGCUACGAUGAGGCCAACUGCAGCACUCUGCAGAUCGGGCAGUACUCCACCCUCAGCAUUCCUACACAGGAGGUGUUUGGGGACAGGUUUGCAGAUGAGCUGAGUGUGCUGAUGAAGCUCAGGUACUCACUGCAGGAGGACACCAGCCUGUUGACCAUCCUGAGCCAUCGGAGCCAUGUGCUCUUCCAGAUCCGGGUUAGCCCAUAUGGUUUGGUCUUUGUCACCACGAGGAGGAGGCACUAUGAGUUCCCUGUGUCCCUGCUCAGUGAUGGGCGCUGGCACCGAGUUGCACUCAGCAUCUCCCAGGAGAGCCUGGAGCUGCACGUGGACUGUCGGCUGGUGGAGAGAGCCAGCUGGCCUGGCUACCUGGGGAUGGGUGUGGGCACCGAGGGGCUGCUCAUCAUCGGAGGUCUGGUGGAGUCCUUUGAGAUCCCCUUUGAGGGAGCUCUGCAGCAGCUGACCUUUGUGAUGGGGGAUGCAGCAGCAGCUGGCGAGCAUUGCCACAGCCACACCGUGACAUGUGUGCACUCCUCUGGCCUCAGUCCUCCUCCGAGGGACCACUCUGCAGCAUGGGCAGAGGAUUCCAAGCUCUCCCAUCCAGAUUUGACUUUGGGCCCACCUUGGACAUGGGAGGAUGCCCAGGAGACCCUUAGCCUGCAGCCAGAUGGGAGCAUCCGGACUUUGUUCUCCGCUGCUGAAGUGCCAACAGCUGAAGAGCUGGAGGAGGAAGAGGGAAGCCUUUCCAUUGAGGAUGAAGGCUUUGAGCUGUUGAACUCCACCUAUAAUAAAAUCCCUGGCAGGCCAGGGAUCAGCAGGAGCAGACCACAGAUCAUUGGCAUCCCCAGAUCAUCAGCCAAGAAGGAGCAAGCCUCUGACUCUGGGCAGGAGAACAUCACCAAAGAGAAGCUGAAGGGCAACGCAGACACCCACCUUCUCCUCCCACCCAUCAAGCCUGGCCAUGCCACCAACCCCAUUGCCUCCUCCAAAGUGUUCCCAUCGAGACAACACACAGCUGCACCCGAGGGUUCCUCAGGGAUGGCUGCAGGGGAUCCAGAGCAUCCUCCCACCCCCCUGGGGCACCCCAUCUUGCCAUCAGUGCGCGGAUAUCGGGCUCGUGUGAAGCCAGGACCCCCAGGGCUGCCAGGACCCCCAGGGCUGCCGGUGAGUGGUGGGGGACAAUGGGGAUGGGUGGGUAGGUGGUGUAGGCUGGUUGCAUUUCCAUGGCAGACAGAGAGGAGAAACCCUCACAAUAUUGUCAGCCUGUGGUCCCAUUAUUUGCUUCCCCACCGCUGUAAUACCUAAAAACUUCAUUCAAAGAAACUUAGGAUUUUCCUUUUGGAAACAUGACUCUGCCUUCCUGCUGGGUUGGCGGUAUGACGCGUGUCAGGCCCAUAGCACACCCUUGUG
Molecule: long non-coding RNA, 2334 nt
Filed under: Meleagris gallopavo (turkey)
Lineage: Eukaryota; Metazoa; Chordata; Aves; Galliformes; Phasianidae
Description: lncRNA (ENSMGAG00000022519.1)
Source: RNAcentral